Molecule: long non-coding RNA, 872 nt
Filed under: Homo sapiens (human)
Lineage: Eukaryota; Metazoa; Chordata; Mammalia; Primates; Hominidae
Description: long non-coding RNA NONHSAT148551.1
Source: RNAcentral
GGUGGAUGGUACUGCUGCAUCCGGGUGUCUGGAGGCUGUGGCCGUUUUGUUUUCUUGGCUAAAAUCGGGGGAGUGAGGCGGGCCGGCGCGGCGCGACACCGGGCUCCGGAACCACUGCACGACGGGGCUGGACUGACCUGAAAAAAAUGUCUGGAUUUCUAGAGGGCUUGAGAUGCUCAGAAUGCAUUGACUGGGGGGAAAAGCGCAAUACUAUUGCUUCCAUUGCUGCUGUUUUUUACAGGCUGGUGGAUUAUCAUAGAUGCAGCUGUUAUUUAUCCCACCAUGAAAGAUUUCAACCACUCAUACCAUGCCUGUGGUGUUAUAGCAACCAUAGCCUUCCUAAUGAUUAAUGCAGUAUCGAAUGGACAAGUCCGAGGUGAUAGUUACAGUGAAGGUUGUCUGGGUCAAACAGGUGCUCGCAUUUGGCUUUUCGUUGGUUUCAUGUUGGCCUUUGGAUCUCUGAUUGCAUCUAUGUGGAUUCUUUUUGGAGGUUAUGUUGCUAAAGAAAAAGACAUAGUAUACCCUGGAAUUGCUGUAUUUUUCCAGAAUGCCUUCAUCUUUUUUGGGGCUGGUUUUUAAGUUUGGCCGCACUGAAGACUUAUGGCAGUGAACACAUCUGAUUUCCCACAGCACAACAGCCCUGCAUGGGUUUGUUUGUUUUUUUACUGCUCACUCCCAACCUUUUGUAAUGCCAUUUUCUAAACUUAUUUCUGAGUGUAGUCUCAGCUUAAAGUUGUGUAAUACUAAAAUCACGAGAACACCUAAACAACAACCAAAAAUCUAUUGUGGUAUGCACUUGAUUAACUUAUAAAAUGUUAGAGGAAACUUUCACAUGAAUAAUUUUUGUCAAAUUUUAUCAUGGUAUAAUUUGU